GGAACAAAAGGGUAAAAG
RNAcentral lists this small nuclear RNA (18 nucleotides) under Arabidopsis thaliana (thale cress). Its description in RNAcentral is "snRNA_08928". The record is from RNAcentral. Lineage: Eukaryota; Viridiplantae; Streptophyta; Magnoliopsida; Brassicales; Brassicaceae.